GGGCCCGCACAAGCGGUGGAGCAUGUGGUUCAAUUCGACGCAACGCGAAGAACCUUACCCAGACUUGACAUGUACUGGACUGGUGUGGAAACACAUCUUCCCUUCGGGGCCAGUGCACAGGUGCUGCAUGGCUGUCGUCAGCUCGUGUCGUGAGAUGUUGGGUUAAGUCCCGCAACGAGCGCAACCCUUGUCCUUAGUUGCUAACGAGUCAAGUCGAGCACUCUAAGGAGACUGCCGGUGGCAAACCGGAGGAAGGUGGGGAUGACGUCAAGUCCUCAUGGCCCUUACGUCUGGGGCUACACACGUGCUACAAUGGCCGGUACAAAGGGCUGCGAUACCGCGAGGUGGAGCCAAUCCCAAAAAACCGGUCUCAGUUCGGAUUGCAGUCUGCAACUCGACUGCAUGAAGUCGGAAUCGCUAGUAAUCGCUGAUCAGCAGGCAGCGGUGAAUACGUUCCCGGGCCUU
Molecule: ribosomal RNA, 465 nt
Filed under: uncultured bacterium
Lineage: Bacteria
Description: bacterial SSU rRNA
Rfam family: Bacterial small subunit ribosomal RNA
Source: RNAcentral